GACGAACGCUGGCGGCGUGCCUAAUACAUGCAAGUAGAACGCUGAAGGAGGAGCUUGCUUCUCUGGAUGAGUUGCGAACGGGUGAGUAACGCGUAGGUAACCUGCCUGGUAGCGGGGGAUAACUAUUGGAAACGAUAGCUAAUACCGCAUAAGAGUAGAUGUUGCAUGACAUUGGCUUAAAAGGUGCAAUUGCAUCACUACCAGAUGGACCUGCGUUGUAUUAGCUAGUUGGUGGGGUAACGGCUCACCAAGGCGACGAUGCAUAGCCGACCGGAGAGGGGGAGCGGCCAACCUGAGACGGUGACACGGCCCAUACUGCUACGGGAGGCAGCAGUAGGGAAUCUUCGGCAAUGGACGGAAGUCUGACCGAGCAACGCCGCGUGAGUGAAGAAGGUUUUCGGAUCGUAAAGCUCUGUUGUAAGAGAAGAACGAGUGUGAGAGUGGAAAGUUCACAGUGUGGCGGUAUCUUACCAGAAAGGGACGGCUAACUACGUG
This 495-nucleotide ribosomal RNA is filed under the name uncultured bacterium. Its description in RNAcentral is "partial 16S ribosomal RNA". It matches the Rfam family "Bacterial small subunit ribosomal RNA", at positions 28 to 507 of the family's 1533-position model. The record is from RNAcentral.